This is a non-coding RNA of Danio rerio (zebrafish), 875 nucleotides long. NCBI's taxonomy places the organism in Eukaryota, Metazoa, Chordata, Actinopteri, Cypriniformes, Danionidae. The record is from Ensembl.
UAAUUACGAACACCUGACCUGCAGUGCAGCAGAAUUCCGAGUCUUGUUUGCGCUCCGGUGACGCGCAGCUAACCUCGAGACAUGUAACUUACUCCAGAGACGCACUAACUUGCACAGCAUUGAAUGGAAAAGGCUUUGUCCAUGUCCAGUUGAGGGCAUCAAGAACACGCAGAUGGCCUAAACCUGUGUCAGCCUGGACAGACUGCAGUUCUGCUACUCCACGCCAAGGCUUUUGUAUGGAUGUCUUGACUACUACUGUGUUCUCUAAAGGUUUUCUGGAAGCUCCAUUUGAGGGCAUCAAGGACAUACUGAUGGCCUAAACCAGUGUCAGCCUAGACAGACAGACAUCUAUUGCAGUUCUGCUACACAAGACCAAACUCUCUGCUUUUGUAUGGAUGUCUGACUAGUAUGGUGUUCUCUAAAGGUGUAACUGGAGCAAAACAACAGCACCCGUUACAGUGAAAUUUGUGUUCAUAAAAGAUAGUGAUAUAUCAGGUAUAGUAACAGGUCCAGUACAUUUGUCAUAAAGGUUAAAUCACAGUAAGUACUGUAAAAAUAACUUGUUUGCCUUUGCCACAACAGGUCAUGGUGUGUGCAUACUACUCGUAGUAAACACACACGCUGAUCUGAUGGGGGAGAGAUAUACGCAAACACAUUUGUAUUUACUGUUUUGUUUUGCCUCACUAAAGUGUUGUUGGAGCUUGGUAUGUUCACAGUUGAAAUCACUGAAGUCACAUGGAACGUUUUGACAAUGUGUUUUGUGCCUUAUCUUGACAAUGACCAUCUUGGGACCAUUGCUGUCUGUAGAGGAUGAGGAGCAUUUAAUCUAAAAUAUUUUAGUUUGUGUUCUGAAGAUUAACAAGUCUCUGGGGUGA